UCAGUGGCAGAAGCUGGGAACU
RNAcentral lists this microRNA (22 nucleotides) under Symbiodinium microadriaticum. Its description in RNAcentral is "smc-miR-12460-5p". The record is from miRBase by way of RNAcentral. Lineage: Eukaryota; Dinophyceae; Suessiales; Symbiodiniaceae.